Non-coding RNA from Phalacrocorax carbo (great cormorant), 5755 nucleotides. The record is from RefSeq and is a predicted model, not a curated record. NCBI's taxonomy places the organism in Eukaryota, Metazoa, Chordata, Aves, Suliformes, Phalacrocoracidae.
GCCAGAGAAGGAGGAAACUUUAUCAGAUUUAAUGACUAAAAACUUCCAGACAAUACUUAACUUGGCAAGGUUUAGCAGAAGCACAAGUGGGCUUGUUUUAAUAGUAGUGAUGUGGUAGCUCUGCUUCUCUGAGCACAUGAGCCGGGUGAAGUGUGAUGAGAUCCAUGGUUAGCCAGAGCUUUGAGAUGCAGGUGCACGGAUGCAUCUGUGGGUCUGCACAUCUGCUCACACAGUGAGCUUCCCAAAGAUGGCCCAAAGAGUCUUCAGCUCAAAAUGAGAUUUUAUUAGCAUUGGAACUAUAAAUCUUACUUGGUAAAUAGAAACUCACAAUUUAGAGAAUGUUUUUUCACAUUAUUCGAGGAGCAAGGUUCCUCUGAAGGCUUGUAUCCUGCACCUGACAAUCUUCAGUGCAAGACUGCUCAACACCACAAUUAUAAGAAUUUAUCUUCAAGAAACGAAAAUGAUCUGUGAUUCCUGUUUUUGGAGCUUGUACAAUGUACCAGUUCUACCCAUGACGUUUAAACUGCUGGCAAUCAAAAUAAUGAAAGCCAAACCUGCACGAUCUUAGACUUGCAAGGCUCAUCUGUCAGAAGAGGCUUGGUUCCUCCAGGACUGGGGAAUGAGAAGUUGCUCAGCUGAAAGUAGACGUGCUCCCUCCUCUGCCCUGAAGGCUGGGAACCGCAGGUAGCGACAGUGUGUGGUUAGUUUCCUGGCUGGCAUGAACAAUUGCUGCUGGCAGUUGCAAACUGUUCUCGCUUCUCUGGCCCUAAAGGACUAGGAUUGCUACUACCACAGUCCUGAGAACAAGCCACAGUUUACAAUGAAGUUCACACAGUUACAGAAUAACAAAAUAAUAAACAAGUUAAGGCUCUAGAGUAGCAUGUCUGCUGUGAAAUAGUCAGAUUCCUGUAGUGUCCUUUGACUGAGUAAAGCAAAGUCAAAGAAAUUGUAUGCCAGCAGCUAUAGUUAAGAGGCACCUUCUAUUCUAGAGAAUAUACACUGUUAAAUACGUCUAUGGAUCAUAAAAAUUAAAGAAUACUGACUUUUUAUUUAUAACCACCUCUAAGGUAAAUACCGUCUUACAGACAGUCUCAUACAGUACCCAGUAUAUUUCCAGUCGUGUGGGAGGUUAAUGUUUGUUAUACAACUUUCCAAGAGUCAAAACAAGUAAUUGCCGGAGCAUCAGUUAAUAAAUAAAAGAAGUGCCAAAGGCAGCUUGAGGUGCAGGCAAGAAGUAACCAGACAAAGAGAUCACAGGAAACGCUGUAUGUAUCUUUUCAUAUCUAAAAGUGUAGUACUGAAGUUCUGCCAUGAUAACCCAGGAAAAUCUGAGAAUAGAACCGGUGCAACAGAUCCUCCAGACUGGAGGUUUAGUGAGUGCUGAUAGUUUACAAACAAAUGCUGUGUGGCGAUGAGAGUUUGAUUCCAAAUAUUCAUCAGUACAAGUCAAACGGUCUAUACCAAAUCAUCAAGAUAAUACUGUUACAGGACAACAUCAGUAAGACCAAGACUGCAGUUUGCUGCUUUGCCUUUAAAACACUCAUAGGAAAACACUAGGAGAGUUUUCAGUGAUUCCAGGAAAAUUUAAUCUUUUUCUUUUAAGUUUCCCAGUACCAGGUUGCUAGGAAACGUUUGCAGUAUAACUAAAGAGGAAUGAAGUAUAUUACAGAGGUAUAAAAUAGUCCAGUGUUAACUGAGUAGAGCAAUAGUUUAAGAGCUAUCAUUCGCACCAAGAACUGAAAACUCUGCAACAUUCUCAAUUAAUUUUAACUUUUAGUGACUUUCCUCUAGAAUUUAAUUUUUGUUUCCAGAGAGUCCUUGCCUGAAAAAGCUCAGUGACAGCUUAUAAUAUUAUUGUAAAAACAGAGACUCUAUUUUCAGAGUUAAAAAGGCAAUCUAUAUUGAAGGCUGUCAUAAUUUUUACUCUAUAACAAUACGUGUUAUUUAUUUGGUAACAUUAACUGUAAAUAAAAGUAAUAAAUAUUAAUUUUCAUGUUGUGUAUCAAACUGAAUGAGAAAGAAUGCACUAGCUGAGGCAAAAUAAAUACAUAUAUCAUGUUACUCAAAUUAAAGAAAAAGUCACUAGUUCAUUAAUCCUUAGAUUUCUAGACCCAGAUAUAUAUUAAAGGCAAGAUAAAGGUAGAGACUGAGCAGUAAUAUUAGAAGCAUAUUUUUCAAAAUAUGUAUCUACACACAUUUUUAAUUUUGGGUGGGACAAUAUAUAAGAUAUGCACUGAUUUCUAAUUACCUCACUAAUGCCUUGUCUUAAUGUCUUCAAACUUAUCCUGGAGUCCCUUGUUUGGUGGAAGGGAAUUUCGCAGUGAAUCUCAGAUGCCAUGCUUUCCUGCAAAUAAAGUUAAGAUCAUUUGAUUUUUCUUACUUUUCUCCACAUUGAGCAAACCCCUCUAUGAAAACCUAUAAAAGAGAAGACUACCCAUCUGCUCCUGUCUACCACUACACCCUGGAAAGAACAACUUGCCAACCUGUCAAAAAACAAGAACAGAGAAUCAUCCAGAAGUCAAAUCUUUGCAGGGCCUAGGAAGAGUUUGGAAGAUAUUCAAAAUGUUACUGGAUGGGAUGACAAGUAGCCUGAUUUAACUUGAAAGUUAUCCCUACUUUGAGUGAGGGAGUGGAUCAGAUGACCUGCAGAGGUCCCUUCCUACCUAAAUUCUUCUGUGAUUCUAUAUGGCACCCUGUAGCUCUUGGGAUUAUAGGGGUUCCUGGGUAAAUGCUAAAACUGUUCAGUAACACACUGACACACAUCCUUCAAAACAGUUUAGGACCUUUAAGAGAAAUAGUUGGAAAGCUGCCAGUGCUGGGCAUGGGAUACUUGUCUGCACUUGUGAGAUUACAGAGCUUUAGCGCUAUGAAAUGCACGAUGAAUUGUGCCAUGCUUAUUUAGACAAGUGUGUAGAAAAUAACCAGCUGCAGUCCUGCUUUUCCACUCAUGAGUAUUUCAAGAACCUUGUAAAAGGAAAACUUGUAACAGCUGGGAAAGUACAAAAAGAUUUUAGAAAAAAGAAAAUAUUAUGGAGUGCUGUAGCAACUGGAGGAAAAAUCAAGCUUGGAUUGUAACUCCUCCAAGGACAGAAGCUGGUGAUUAGAAGGGGCUGAAUUGUUGUGUGUAUGAGGAAGCUCAUCUGGGAGGCAUCGGUCACCUACUGCUCCCUCUAUAUUUUUGACAUGGGGUGACACACAUGGCAAGGAGAGGGAACAGUGGUGCUGAUCACGAUGAAGGAUCUCAGCAGCACCGGUGGGAAGGAGGGAAAAAAAUCAAGUGAAUGUGACAGUAAAGAGUGGAGAGGCGCAGAACUGUAAUGCUCAAGAGGAGACUGCGUAACACUUUCCACAAAAGAUUUCCUAUGGUCAGAAAAUCUAUACAGAAGUAGCAGCGGAUGAGAAGGGAAGAUAUGGAAAUCCAAGGCUGCCUUUGCCUCUGAUGGACACUCUGCAACCUGUAGUGGCUAUUUUCCCAGUACAAUUUCUGAGAGGACUGGCUUGAGAAAGUGUAACAGAACUACAUAAAUGCCUACACAGAAAAGAUUGUGCAUAAAAGCUGUAUAAAUUAAAGGAAUGAACUGUCCCAGGUGUACCUGCUGCAGCACGGACUUACCCACAGCCACAGAUGCUUCGAGGUGUACCUUCUCCAGCAUGGAUUUAUCCUUGGGCCUCCAUCCCUCCAGAGGCAUACCUGCUGCGGCACAGACGUAACCACGGCCACAGGUAGUGGAAAUAAAAAUAGUUUGGAAAAACCAUACAUAAGAUUGCUUUUUGUUCAGAAGUUACAAAUGAAUGAACAGGAGCAGAUACCGAAAAGAUGUUUCACAGGGAAACCUUCUGGGGAAGUCUGAGAAAUUAAAAGCCAUUGAUACUAUUUCUCUGUGAUUAAUAGGUCAGCGAAGAGCUGCAGUUUUGAGCUGCAUUUCUGACCAUUCAGGUAACCUUUUUCAUUGAAGAUGUACAUUUAGCCACAGGCCGACGUUUUACUGAACAUUUUCUGAUGUUAGCCUGUAGACAAGCAGUUUAUUUUUAAGUGACUCUGAUCAACUGCACUUUAAUGACAGUGACAGCUAAUUCUGAUCUCAUUUUUGCAAUUGCAUUUGCAUUUACAUUUGCAUUUGCAAGGAAAUGCAAUUGCAUUCCUUCCAGUAACAUGCCAGCAAAUAUAUAUGACUGUGGCACUUGCAAACAAUCCACAAUGAAUAAUUCACUCGGUGAGUUCAGAGUCUGUUUCACAACAUGGAAUCAUCAUGAGUAGAUUAUAAUUUCCGUGAAUGUAUUCAUGAUUAGACUGAACUUUGGUGAGUUGUUUUCCAUUGUGGAUUAACUGUCAGCAAUUAACUGCAUGCCUGAUCCUUGAUAUUUAGCAUUUGAGGUGUGUUAAUUUUUGGUGAUAGGCUUUUAUUGAAUGCUUCUUUUUCUGCAUGUCUCCAAAGGGAUCAGUUGGAAGACAGCAUAGAGAAAAGUUUAUUAAACAAAUAUGGGACUUUGUGGAUAAGGAAGAUGUUUUUUUCAGAAGAAAAUAUUUCCCUCUUAACUAGAGCAGAACCAGACAUCUGUUAUGCAAAAUAAAGAAGGUUGUUUUCUAUUUGAAAGAAGGGAACAUUGACCGAGCACGGAGGAGCCACCAGGGCAAAUAUAGAAACCUGCCGGGAACUGCAGACAUGCACAGAACAGUACGCUUUUGCUGGACAGACUUAAUCUCUGGCAACAAAAGAUGGUGGUAUCUUACUUCUGCUUAUGCAAAACAUUUUAAACGUGACAUAAAUUAACAGAAAUAACUGAAAUCUCUGGAAACUAAGGAAGAAAAUACAGAGGCAUGUCAUUAAAACUAAAAAGGCAGAAGUCUGUAAGAGUGAAUCUCUAUUAUCCUGAUUCAAGAAAAAAGUAGGAUGGAAUAUUUAUAAAUUCUUUACAGACUCUAGAUAACGGAGUUAUUCUGCACAGAAUUAGACCCAAAUGGAAAAAAGUGAAAUGAAACAGAAGACAUUUUACUUGAAUGUAUGUCUGUCAAAAUUCUUCCUCAAAUGAUUGAUGAAAAAUGGCUAAGCUUCUGAGUUAAUCAAUGCUGUAACAAAAAACAGUGUGUCGGGCACAAUUUAAUUUUUUAUAGUACUUGAUGGCUUUGCUUUAAUUGCAAAUUUAUUACCAAAAUAAACCUGAAAGGUAGAUGAACUGGAAAUAAUCCACAUAUAGCAAACUAGAGGUUACGACUAAAGUACAUCUAAUGCACUUCUCUCUUUCUUGGGUAUGUACAAUACCCGUUGAAGCAAUAACAAUCAUAGAAGAAAAAUAUAAUCCAUAAAUACCUUCAGAUUGUAUUAGCAUUAUGCAGUGGAUCAAACAUAUUCUUGAAGUAAAUUCAUUUUCUUCGAUGGAGUUACAUCAUAGAGAAGUUCGGUUCAGUGUAUUUAAUUUCCACUGCGCGUAUUGAACAGGGGAAGGGUGUUUAAGCUCAUAAUUGGCACACCAAUGUAUGGAAGAGAAGUAAAUAUGCUAUUAAUUAGGAGCUAAAUAUUGACACAUAGCAAGAUUAAAUUAUAGCAAAACACUAAAUGUAACUUGCUUAAUGCAUUAUUAAGUAUCCAAAUAUUGUGUAUAUGGAAUUGUAAUUAUAUGCUUGGAUUCUGAACUGAUUAUAUGGCAAGAAAAAAUAAGAUUUUUCCAAACACUUGGGUCUGGCUUGUCUUCACCCCGACAAAAGUCAGUGACAAAAAUAGAAUUAACCAGCGUUGUGUUUUGUCCCACCUAUUAC